UACGUAGGGGGCUAGCGUUGUCCGGAUUUAUUGGGCGUAAAGAGCGUGUAGGCGGCCAAGUAAGUCCGGUGUGAAAACUCGAGGCUUAACCUCGAGAUGUCAUCGGAAACUAUUUGGCUAGAGUCCGGAAGAGGAGAGUGGAAUUCCUGGUGUAGCGGUGAAAUGCGCAGAUAUCAGGAAGAACACCUAGGGCGAAAGCAGCUCUCUGGGACGGUACUGACGCUGAGACGCGAAAGCGUGGGGAGCGAACAGG
This 253-nucleotide ribosomal RNA is filed under the name uncultured bacterium. RNAcentral describes it as "partial 16S ribosomal RNA". It matches the Rfam family "Bacterial small subunit ribosomal RNA", at positions 524 to 776 of the family's 1533-position model. The record is from RNAcentral.